CAAGUAGAUUAAUUCGAUAAAGUAUGUAGCAGUCAGAACAUUCUUUACUGUCCAGGUGAAAGUGUCGUUAGUAGAACUGCAUGGCCUCGUAACAAUAGCGUGUUGGCAGGUCUUAUCUUCGUUUAAGUGGUCCUCCGUUUUUCUCCAGGCUCGAUCCUGUUGACUAACAGGGGCAUAACAGAGCUUGAACUUUACCGUCUUGUAGCUUGAAUCUUUCCCAGCUGCUAGGGAUUUGUUGAAUGACUAUGUCACUACUAUAUUGUCUUCUCCAGCUUUCGAAACUGUAAAUUUAAUUUAGAAAUAAUU
Molecule: long non-coding RNA, 306 nt
Filed under: Olea europaea subsp. europaea
Lineage: Eukaryota; Viridiplantae; Streptophyta; Magnoliopsida; Lamiales; Oleaceae
Source: RNAcentral